Molecule: long non-coding RNA, 495 nt
Organism: Exaiptasia diaphana
Lineage: Eukaryota; Metazoa; Cnidaria; Anthozoa; Actiniaria; Aiptasiidae
Exons: 2
Source: RefSeq, a predicted model, not a curated record
UACCAAAUUAACUGACGUCAUUGGAAAGUACAAAAAACGGCGAGAUACCUUCGUUGUKAGUGUAUUUCAAAGAGCUGCUUCUUGUACUUGCAAGACUGGAUAUAGAGAGAGGCAUUUCAAAAGUUAGUCAGAUGUCUCAACUACAUUUCUCGCAUUCCCAAACCCUUCUGGGYCUUGCUAUGAUAAUGGUGAUCUUGAUGUCAACGUCAUGGGCMCGACCACGUGACAGGCUUAUGUCAAUGGUUUUAGAUUUUCCUGACGAGUUUCCAGUUUACAGAACUGCGCAUGCGCCCAUGAGUAGGAAAAGAAACCUUGUAUUGUCGUCAAGAAUUGCYGAGCCAUGUUUUCCAAUGUGUCUUCCAAACAAAGAAACGAAUAAACCAAGUGGAAGAUGAUGUUUUUAGACAUUAGAUAUAUUGAAUAAAAGCGAUUUUUCWGCGGAAUGCUUGUAAGAUAUAUUGAUUAGUGGUCAUUGCCAAUAAAUGAUGGAUGGGA